CACAAGGAGAACCAGAGGGAACCUGUACUUACAGUACGCUGUGUUCAGCCCAGAGGUGAGAGCCAUUCAAAGCAAACUAACUGUGCUAUUGUGCCCAAGUUGAUACCUGUGGAGAGAAAAGGAGAGAGAGGGAAUAACACGAGGAGGAAUAGAGCGAACCCUGUACUUACAGUACGCUGUGUCCAGCCCAGAGGUGAGAGCCAUUCAAAGCAAACUAACUGUGCUAUUGUGCCCAAGUUGAUACCUGUGGAGAGAAAAGGAGAGAGAGUGGGUAACACGAGGAGAGACCGAGGAAACCUGUACUUACGCCGCUGCCUGUGGAGAAAGAGAAAGCGACCGUUGCCUGUGGAGGAAGAGAAAGAGAGUGAGCACCCCGAGAACGAACUGUGUGAACCAGUACUUACCGUGAGCUGUAUUCAGCGAAGAGGAGGAAGAAGGAGGGCGCUACGGAUACGGCAAGGCACGAGGAACACAGACAAAUAUUUGACGACGAACUAACAACCAGACUGCAAACACAAUGAGAAUAAAUAGGGAGCUAAUGAGGAGGGUAACGAGGGA
Cyprinus carpio (common carp) is the source of this 558-nucleotide long non-coding RNA. The record is from Ensembl. Lineage: Eukaryota; Metazoa; Chordata; Actinopteri; Cypriniformes; Cyprinidae.